GGGGUGCAGCAGGCGCGAACACUGUGCAAUGCGCGAAAGCGCGACACGGGGAGCUUGAGUGUCUUGGCAUAGCCAAGACUUUUCUCAUUCCUAAAAAGCAUGAGGAAUAAGUGCUGGGUAAGACGGGUGCCAGCCGCCGCGGUAACACCCGCAGCACGAGUAGUGGUCACUUUUAUUGAGCCUAAAGCGUUCGUAGCCGGUUUUGUAAAUCUUCAGAUAAAGCCUGAAGCUUAACUCCANAAAGUCUGAAGAGACUGCAAGACUUGAGAUCGGGUGAGGUUAAACGUACUUUCAGGGUAGGGGUAAAAUCCUGUAAUCCCGGAAGGACGACCAGUGGCGAAAGCGUUUAACUAGAACGAAUCUGACGGUAAGGAACGAAGGCUAGGGUAGCAACCCGGAUUAGAUACCCGGGUAGUCCUAGCUGUAAACAUUGCCCAAUUUAUGGUGGCUUUUCCGUUGAGGGAAGGCAGUCGUCGANCGAA
Molecule: ribosomal RNA, 482 nt
Filed under: uncultured archaeon
Lineage: Archaea
Description: bacterial SSU rRNA
Rfam family: Archaeal small subunit ribosomal RNA
Source: RNAcentral